AUGAUGGCGGGGCGGGUCUUGGUUGCCAUUGCGGUUCUUGCGGCGGCGGCGGCGCUGUUUGUUGCGGCGGAGGCCCAGCAGGCGCCGGCGCAGCAGGGCCACCAGACAGAGAGGAUCUCAGGGAGUGCUGGUGAUGUGCUGGACGAUGACCCUGUUGGGAGGCUCAAGGUGUUUAUCUAUGAUCUCCCUGGAAAAUACAACAAGAAGCUGCUGAAGAAAGACCCUCGGUGCCUGAACCACAUGUUCGCCGCGGAGAUCUUCAUGCACCGGUUCCUGCUGUCGAGCGCGUCUCCACGCAUGAUGCGGAGCGCGAUUGAGCUGAUCGCGACGAAAUGGCCUUACUGGAAUAGAUCAGAGGGGGCAGAUCAUUUCUUUGUCACACCACAUGACUUUGGCGCUUGCUUCCAUUAUCAGGAAGAGAAAGCAAUUGGACGAGGAAUCCUUCCCUUGCUUCAGCGUGCUACACUGGUUCAGACCUUUGGACAAAAGAACCAUGUCUGCUUGAAGGAAGGCUCCAUCACAAUUCCGCCAUUUGCGCCUCCGCAGAAAAUGCAAAAUCACCUUAUUCCCGGAGAGACCCCUCGAUCCAUCUUCGUAUACUUCCGUGGUCUGUUCUACGACACCGGCAAUGAUCCCGAGGGUGGAUACUACGCAAGAGGUGCUCGUGCAUCUGUCUGGGAGAACUUCAAGAACAACCCGCUGUUCGACAUCUCAACCGAUCACCCACCGACGUACUACGAAGAUAUGCAGAGGUCUGUGUUCUGCCUAUGCCCAUUGGGCUGGGCUCCAUGGAGCCCCAGGCUGGUGGAAGCCGUGGUUUUCGGCUGCAUCCCGGUGAUCAUCGCAGACGACAUCGUCCUCCCCUUCGCGGACGCCAUCCCAUGGGAGGAGAUCGGCGUGUUUGUUCCCGAGGAGGACGUCCCAAGGCUGGACAGCAUCCUGACAUCCAUUCCGACAGAGGACAUACUGAGGAAGCAAAGGCUUCUCGCAAACCCUUCGAUGAAGCAGGCCAUGCUGUUCCCCCAGCCAGCUCAAGCAGGAGAUGCAUUCCAUCAGAUACUGAACGGGCUCGCUCGCAAGCUUCCGCAUGGCGAAGAUGUCUUCUUGAAGCCCGGCCAGGUCCGCCUGAACUGGACCGCUGGCCCGGUGGGUGACCUGAAGCCGUGGUAG
Molecule: ribosomal RNA, 1170 nt
Filed under: Triticum aestivum (bread wheat)
Lineage: Eukaryota; Viridiplantae; Streptophyta; Magnoliopsida; Poales; Poaceae
Description: partial small subunit ribosomal RNA
Source: RNAcentral